GUUUUUACUAUACAAUAUUCCUAUAUGUAAACUCUAUUCAAAACAAAUAUUGCUACAUAAACUCUGUUCUGUCGAGUUGUUGCUUGUUGAGCCUUUAGAUUCAUUUUUCUUCGGAAUCUCCUGUCCUUUGGAGUUUGCAUGCUUGGUUGGUUCUUCUUGUGGCUCAUGUUUCUUGGUUUCAGCCCGACGUCAACCGUUACUUUGGGAUUGGUUGCAGGUUACGAUGUUUUGAGUUUCAGAUUUAGCUCUUAGGUUCCUUUUAGGCUUACCUUCUUGUACCUUUAUGUUUACGGUUUGUUUCCCUCUUUUGGGCUUAGGUUUCUGGAGAUAUUGUUGUCUUCCUCCGCCUUAGUUUCUGACAGAGUUUCGACUCUUGUCGUUGUUGUAUUUCAAAAAUGUAUUAUACCUUCGUAUAAUAUAAUGGAAUCAUUCAGUCGAAAAAA
Molecule: small RNA, 443 nt
Filed under: Arabidopsis thaliana (thale cress)
Lineage: Eukaryota; Viridiplantae; Streptophyta; Magnoliopsida; Brassicales; Brassicaceae
Description: ATSL003860
Source: RNAcentral